CUCAGGAUGAACGCUAGCGGCAGGCCUAAUACAUGCAAGUCGACGAGAUUAUCCAGCUUGCUGGAUUUGAAAGUGGCGCACGGGUGCGUAACGCGUAUGCAACCUACCUUAAUCUGGGGGAUAGCCCGGAGAAAUCCGGAUUAACACCGCAUAAAAACACAGGAUAGCAUUAUCCAAUGUUCAAAUAUUUAUAGGAUUGGGAUGGGCAUGCGUGUCAUUAGCUAGUUGGCGGGGUAACGGCCCACCAAGGCGACGAUGACUAGGGGAUCUGAGAGGAUGGCCCCCCACACUGGUACUGAGACACGGACCAGACUCCUACGGGAGGCAGCAGUAAGGAAUAUUGGUCAAUGGAGGCAACUCUGAACCAGCCAUGCCGCGUGCAGGAAGACUGCCCUAUGGGUUGUAAACUGCUUUUAUCCGGGAAUAAACCUCUUUACGUGUAGAGAGCUGAAUGUACCGGAAGAAUAAGGAUCGGCUAACUCCGUGCCA
Molecule: ribosomal RNA, 489 nt
Filed under: Pedobacter sp.
Lineage: Bacteria; Pseudomonadati; Bacteroidota; Sphingobacteriia; Sphingobacteriales; Sphingobacteriaceae
Description: bacterial SSU rRNA
Rfam family: Bacterial small subunit ribosomal RNA
Source: RNAcentral